GAUGAACGCUAGCGGCAGGCUUAACACGUGCAAGUCGAGGGGCAGCAUGACACGGAGAUUCGUCGAAGUGUUGAUGGCGACCGGCGCAAGGGUGCGUAACGCGUGAGCAACUUGCCCGUUUCUGGGGGAUAACCGGUGGAAACGCCGACUAAUACCCCAUAGUAUUGGAUUUAGGCAUCUUUAUCCAAUUAAAGAAUUUCGGAAACGGAUAGGCUCGCGUGACAUUAGCUAGAUGGCGGGGUAACGGCCCACCAUGGCUACGAUGUCUAGGGGUUCUGAGAGGAAGGUCCCCCACACUGGAACUGAGACACGGUCCAGACUCCUACGGGAGGCAGCAGUGAGGAAUAUUGGUCAAUGGUCGGAAGACUGAACCAGCCAUGCCGCGUGAAGGUCACGGCCCUAUGGGUCUUAAACUUCUUUUGUAAGGGAGCAAUAAGGCGUACGUGUACGUCGAUGAGAGUACCUUACGAAUAAGCAUCGGCUAACUCCGUG
RNAcentral lists this ribosomal RNA (492 nucleotides) under uncultured bacterium. RNAcentral describes it as "bacterial SSU rRNA". It matches the Rfam family "Bacterial small subunit ribosomal RNA", at positions 28 to 507 of the family's 1533-position model. The record is from RNAcentral.